This is an RNA transcript of Nomia melanderi (Alkali bee), 5148 nucleotides long. It is a transcript of the gene named G-protein coupled receptor moody, with no coding region annotated. The record is from RefSeq and is a predicted model, not a curated record. NCBI's taxonomy places the organism in Eukaryota, Metazoa, Arthropoda, Insecta, Hymenoptera, Halictidae.
GGCCCGUAUCUAUCGCGGCAACCAGUCCAUUCGCGGUGACGGUGACGAACAGAUCGUUACUUGCCGCUCCGUACCACGUUUUCAUCCAACCGUCGACGAUCGAUUUCCAUCUGUGGAUCCCCGUCCUGCGACGGAGUAUCACCGGAAACUGCCACUCGCAUUCGUACCAUCGAACCAAUACGUUUUCUCAAUUAUAAUCUAUAUCAUUGCACCAUUCUCCAUUGUGCCUUCAACGAAAAGCAAAAGAAAAAAUUAAAGAACUGGGACCAAAAAGGGAAAAACUUGUAUGCAAGUGUACAACAGCUUUGGUUAGUCUCGAAGUCUGCAAUGAAUAAUUUGGAAACAAUUAUCAUUUACUCUGUCAAUGUUCACUGUGCCUUUAAAUGAAAAUAGUAGAAUCAUAGACACCACGAAGGAAACUCUUAUGUUGAACAAGUAGAAAAAGAAGUUUGUUUUUGUUUUAUCGUAUAGUCUUGAGUAAUUUGUAAGCAAUUAGUAACUACGAUUAUUAUAUUAUUAUUCAGUCUGAAUUUGAAGAAAACACUUAUCUAGUGGUACAAUUAGAAAAAGAAGUUUGCUUUUGUUUUAAAGUCUAUGAUAUAAUCUCUAGUAAUUUGGAAGCAAUUAGUAGUACCAUUAAUAUAUCGUUAUCAAUUCUCAAUUUGAAGAUAAGACUUCUUUAAUGGUACAAUUAGAAAGAGAGGUUUGUGUUUGUUUGUAAGUUUAUCAUAUAAUCUUCAGUAAUUUGUGAGGACUUCAUAUUAAGAUUAACAUGUCAUUGUUCAUUUCAAAUUUGAAGUAAAGUAUGGAGGAAUAAGUGGCACGAGUGUGCAAAGACUUGGUUUAGCUACGACGCGGCCUACCGCGAAGUCUUAGAUAAUCUGAAUUAUCUUGUGUGCGCUAUGAUAACGUGAACAGAAAAACAGUAUUCGGCUAUUAAACGGAGAGGGACAUCGUGUGAAUUUUAUGAUACCGGAGUGUGAUAGUUCCGUUUCACGGUGAAUUUUGUAUUUGUGAAGCAAGAAUAGAACCGCGCGAUCCAGGGGGCGGGUUUCGGUUUUGGCGCGUCGCGGCCGUUAGUUAAAGAGGAAACCGGAUGUAUCGACGGCGUCGCGGAUGGCCACCGACCGCAAUGACGGAUGAUUCGUGAAAGGAAUUAACGCGGCCUCGGAGGUUGAUCAAAGUCGAAUGAAUCACACGCAAAGAAGCAGAGAUUCGUCGCCGUUGAAAUGGACAAUACAGUCUUCUAUUUGUACCGUUUUGCGAGAAACGCCACCGAAAGCGCAAUCAUCGAUGGCGAUAUAUCGAGAUUUCCAAAGCCGCUACGGACAUUCGCGGCGGUGGUUGCCAUUUUGAUAAUGAUCGUCGGCCUCGCCGGAAAUCUGCUGACCAUCAUCGCUCUCUGCAAGUAUCCCAAAGUUCGCAAUGUCGCGGCAGCAUUUAUUAUAAGUUUAUGUGUGGCAGACUUUGUGUUCUGUCUACUGGUAUUGCCAUUCGAUUCAAUUCGGUUCGUCAACGCUAGCUGGGCGGAAGUGCGGUUUCUGUGUGUCCUUGUGCCUUUUCUGAGAUAUGGAAACGUUGGCGUUAGCCUCCUCUCUGUCGCAGUCAUAACCAUCAAUAGGUACAUCAUGAUAGCUCACCACGGCUUGUACAGCAAAGUGUACAAAAAGUACUGGAUCGCUUUCAUGAUCGUGUUUUGUUGGAUCUUCUCUUACGGAAUGCAAGUACCCACUCUCUUAGGAAUUUGGGGAAGAUUCGACUACGAUUCAAACCUCGAAACCUGCUCGAUCGUUAAGGACGAAAGAGGUCGCACAUCGAAGACAUUCCUUUUCGUAAUGGGUUUCGUAAUACCAUGCGUGGUGAUCGUUGGAUGUUACACAAAAAUAUUCUGGGUUGUGCACAGAUCCGAGUCGAGGAUGCGGAAACACACGACACCAGCGAUAAAAUCACCUCACACACCUGGAAGGGAUACCAGAGAAAUCAAACAGAAGCGAAGCGAAUGGCGGAUCACGAAGAUGGUACUCGCCAUUUUCCUCAGUUUCGUAGCUUGUUACCUUCCAAUUACAAUCGUCAAAGUAGCCGACGCGGAGGUUAAAUACCCAGGGUUCCACGUGCUGGGCUACCUGCUACUGUACUUCGCGUCCUGCGUGAAUCCAAUAAUUUACGUGAUCAUGAACAAGCAGUACAGGCAAGCUUACGCAGGGGUGAUCGGUUGUUCGCGGAUAAGGGCGGGCCUGACGCCUUACGGGAGCAGCGCACCCGGCCACCAGCACCAACAGGACUAUGGCCAAGGUAACUUCGAGCAACGUCGAGUGGUAACGCUCACCAAGCUCUGACCGAACGCGAGCUAAGCGACCACACUUCGCUCCACACUUCGCUCCACACUUACUUCACUACUCGAAGGACUUUAGCAAGACGAUGGUGUCCACUGUCUCCAUUGCAAUGAAUCCUGUGAGGAAUCCUCAUUUCGAAGAGGACUCGUGAAUUUAGGACUGAACUGCGCGUAAAAAGAAGAAAAAGUAAUAUAAACGUAUUUAGGGUAAACCGAAAAUAAAUGACCAAUUUUCUUUAACAGAACUAUUUCAUCAUAAGUGUCAUUAACUCUCUGCGAAAUUUUUCAAACUUUUAAAAACUCUUUUCAUAGAAAUUUAAUUAUGUAUCGAAAUCUUAAAUAUUAGAAAAAGUAGAAUCACGUAUAUAUCAGUCUUUCAUUAUUUGAAUAAUUAAAUUACUCAUUCGCAGCUAUUGAUUUUACAUAUGACAGCUCGAAGUCAUUAUUAUGGUGAAAUUUGACUGUAAAGGGUUGAUACCUAAGAAAAAUAUAUACAAGGUAAGUCGUUAAACUGUGCCAUCUGAAUUUACUUAUAAACCGUUUAUUACAUAAAGAAAAUGUUCUAAAUGAAAGUUAUUCAGUAUCAAUCAAACCAACCGUGUUUUGUCUACUAUAAUUUCAACUCUUGCCACACAACUUCUGUCUGGAACAUUUUUUACCUAAGAAAUAAAUUUUGAUGGCAUGAUUGAACGAUUUACUCUGUAUAUAUAUUUAUGAAAGGAAUUAAAUAUAAGAUGAAUAGUUAAAUUCUUCUCUAUGCAAAAUUCAGUAUAGCAUUAAAAGCAAUUGAAAGUAUAGAUAUUUGACAAUUUAAAUGAGAUCUAGUCAUCUCACUUGGAAUUGGCCUACGCAGCUGAAAAUAUUUGAUCAGCUAUAAUAUUAACGAUACAAAGAAAAAAGAGAAGUAAAUAAAUAAAAAAAAUAUUAAUUCACUAGAACAACCAAAUUUACAUCAAAGGUGUAAUCGAAUAUUUUUGAGUGGCAGUGUAAAUAUUACCUAAGUAUUACUGUACACCUAAUGUUUCAUAAGAAGAUAUUUUUAUAAGAAAUAUAAAUGAGAACUUCUUACAUCACACGUAGUUAAUAAUAUGUAUUACAAGUAUACUUUACCUGAAAGGCAUUAUGAAACUAGUAGAAUUAGAUUAUGUAAUAUUUUGAAAGGGACCAGCAAAGUGAUAGAGUUUUGCAAACAAUUUACAGAAUUGAUUCUACAGAAAUGUCCCAUGCAUUGUGAAACAUCUUAUAUACAAUGUAAGAAAUAGACUGCGAAUGUUUAAGCAAUUCCACAUUCUUACCAACUAAUUUAUAACAAUUAGAAUUAAGUAGUAAUUUAUUUUUUUUGCAAUGGACUUCGUUGUGUUCUAAACACAAUGGAAACGUUAGACGCCUCUAGAGUUUCCUGUUUUAUUGUUGUGACACGCUGGUUUAGAUGUACUUUACAUGCAGAAGAUUCGCAGUCUAUUGUUGAGCAUAUAAAAAGAAAAAUAUUCCGCGAGAUUGAGCAAGGAAAACGUGAGAAAUGGAAGAUGACAAUAAUGUCGGUUUCGAUAAGAAACGAAAAAUAUAGACUGUAAAUAAUAUAUAUUUUAAACGGGGUGUCACUUGCAUCAGGAUCGAUCUUGAUCUUUGAAACACGCGAAGAAGAAGUAAAUAUUCAAGAAUAAAAUUAAUUGUUUUAAGUAUAUAAAGAAAACUUCAUUUUAUACUUGGAAAUGUAAAUAAUAUUUUGUAAACUUUAAAUUACAUUCUUUUAACUUAGGGAUUCCAUAGACUUUUGAACUAAUUACUUUUUUCAGAAGAUAAAUAGAUUGUCUUAUUUCUUGGUAUUUACACUUUGCUUUGUUUUAAGAAUAUAAAAUGGUUCGAUUGCAAAGAACCCUCCACACCCAGUUUCAAAGAUUGUGUACUCAGGGUGAGUUUAAAGGAAUGUUGUAAAACACAGUAUUAUUUAGUAACAAGUCCUGAUAAUCUCGAAUCAACGAACGUUCACUUUCUGUGAUACAGAUUUUUAUUUUACAGAAGUUCUAUCUUGGCAGCGUUUUCAAUAUUUACACGUCAUUUUCGACUGCACUUAAAGAUUCUCUGUGUAUCUUAAUAAUCUUAUAAUCAAUGUUGGAACUUUUCCUUCGAGGUACAUUAGUGUUGAUAUUAAGAACAAAAAUAUUUUAACUCUCAAAAUAUUGGAAUUAUUGUAUAAAAAUUCUUUUAUAUGAUUUAGUAAAAUUUACAAAGAUUUAUCAUAAUUUAUAAUAAGUUUUGAAACACUUGUUUUGUAAUUGCUCAGUGAUAUUUAUACAAAUAAGGGUUCUCCUAUUUCAAAAAUCUCGAAUACCUUGAUUUCUUGAAAAUUUGUUCUUUUAAAUAAAAUUUCAAUUAACGAAUUUUGUAACGGACUAUUAGACUCACUUGGUGUAUUGUGUAAGUCAUCGAAGUCAUUGUGAAAAUCAAAAAAGAAAUGAAUGAAAAUAAAACGUAAAAACAGCAGUGCUGUUCGCGUAUCUAUUAAUUAUAUAAAAAUAGCUAUAGUUUUGUAAGAUAGAGAGUAAAAUAAGUUAUUCUUUGCGUAAGCGAAAUGUUAAUAGAAGCACAACGAACGCCAUAUUUUAUCUACGAGACGCAAGUGUCGAACUUUUACCAAAGGUUGCACACAAAUAUAUUUGUACAUAAAAGCACUCAUUAAUUUCUAUAAAUAUAAUGUAAAAAUAAAAAAUAUAUAUAUAUAUACAUACUUUAUAAACAUUCAUGAUUUUAUGUUAGAAAAUUAUAUUUAUUCCUUUUGGAUAAACCAAAACCGAGAAUUAUGUAAAAUUUUAUCG